GUUGGUCGUCACGCGGAAUUUGUGUGUCGUUCGAAGUUUUCGCCGACUAUCGGCCAUAUUUUCCUGGAACGGAUCGUCAUCGUCAUCGUGGUGUAGCUGUGUGAUGUUGCGCCAUUGUCCGUAGACAUCAGAUUGACCAUCCUGUGGCUGUAAAUAAAAAAAAACCUUUUAGAUGAUAGAAACGAUCGAUUCAACAACCAUCAUCACAAUCGUUAGCACCACCAUUAGGUGAAUGAAGUAACUGGCAGGUGGAGUGGUGACGCCAGAAUAUUUUACUUGGUGGAGCCAAUGGAAGGCAACAAAUUUUAAGUUUGUUUAUUAGUGUACUUGGAUUUUCAACAAUGGUAACAAUGAAAACAAAAGCAAAAAACCGAUUGAACUUGGAAUACGACAUAAGAUGUGCAUUGAUAGAAACUGAACCUAAUAUUAAAUCAAUUGAUAAAAAAAGCAAUA
Molecule: long non-coding RNA, 453 nt
Organism: Sipha flava (yellow sugarcane aphid)
Lineage: Eukaryota; Metazoa; Arthropoda; Insecta; Hemiptera; Aphididae
Exons: 3
Source: RefSeq, a predicted model, not a curated record